Molecule: long non-coding RNA, 1178 nt
Organism: Platichthys flesus (European flounder)
Lineage: Eukaryota; Metazoa; Chordata; Actinopteri; Pleuronectiformes; Pleuronectidae
Exons: 2
Source: RefSeq, a predicted model, not a curated record
AUGUGAACACAGAGUCACAACAGCAGCAGACAUGUUUACGUUCCGCAGCACACGUACAGCACGCACGCGUGGACACCGUGCGUGGAUCGGACAUACCCGGACACCUUACUUAUUGUGCUGAUUUGAGCAAAUUUCAGCCAUGAACUCCACAAAUACAAACAGUUUAUUGAAUUAGAAAGAGAGAACACUCUGGAUCACUGUUACACAAUAGUCCACCGCGGUGCAUGAUGGGACAUUCUGACCAAGCCAUGGCCAACCUGAUUCCCGCCAACAGGCAGGAAAAGAAAGCUCGCUUUCUCUCUGUCUCGCUCUCUCGCUCUCUUCUCUUUCCCUCGUUAGGACUGCACUGACUGACUGCUGUAUCCAUAUAUCUAUGGCUGUAUCAGGGGCUCGGACAGAUCACAAACCUCAAACCUUCAACCCCCACUCCAGUAAUUAAUUGUGCCUUUAACCAGCUGAACCAGUUUUACUGUCGUUUUGAAAGACAAUGGUCUACACCAACAACAGCUCAGCAGGGCGCAGUGACUCUUCACACCUUCCCCCUCUACCACAGUGUCAUCCCUUUCCAUCCUGAAGAGGGGAGUCAACUAGCUCCUCAGGAGACAAACCCCCCACAGAGCAGCUGCUCAGCUGUCUCCAAGGUUCACAGACAUUUUUAACACCUCACUGGAGACAUGUUAUAUGCCACACUACUUCAAAUCCUUCAACACCAUCCCCAAAAAAACAAGGACCACAGGACUUAAUGACUACAGUCCCGUUACCCUUACUUCUGUGUUAAUGAAGUCUUUUGAUCGCUUGGUCUCUCCCACCUCAAGGACAUCCCCAACCCCCUCCCAGACCAUCUGCAGUUCAACACUUUCGCCCCCUGCUCUGCUCCAGGGGUGAGGAAUAACUUGAAUGAGUCCUGGGCAUCUGCAGUCUCGGAUUAUAAUUCAUCUUGAGUUUAUGAAAAUUGCCUGACAUUUUCUGCAGAUGUUCUUCCAUUGCUUCCAAAUCAUCACAUGCUCUAGGAAAGUAAAUGGAAUAUUGACCUAAUAUGGAUGUGUGAUUGUGUUAAUUGUGGAUGGGGAGUAAUCCUGAGUGAAUUAACAUGAGAAAUGUUGCUAUCAAUGACAAAGAGCAGUAGAUGUAUAGGCUAAUAACAAAAGGACUUGAUAAAUUCAGUGAGUUCAGGUUUU